RNAcentral lists this unclassified non-coding RNA (378 nucleotides) under plant metagenome. RNAcentral describes it as "partial contains 5.8S ribosomal RNA, internal transcribed spacer 2, and large subunit ribosomal RNA". The stretch from base 1 to 105 matches the Rfam family "5.8S ribosomal RNA", at positions 50 to 154 of the family's 154-position model. The record is from RNAcentral.
GAAAUGCGAUAAGUAAUGUGAAUUGCAGAAUUCAGUGAAUCAUCGAAUCUUUGAACGCACCUUGCGCUCCUUGGUAUUCCUUGGAGCAUGCCUGUUUGAGUAUCAUGAAAUCUUCUAAGUAAAUCUUUUGUUAACUCAAUUGGUUUCUACUUUGGUAUUGGAGGUCUUUGCAGCUUCACACCUGCUCCUCUUUGUUCAUUAGCUGGAUCUCAGUGUUAUGCUUGGUUCCACUCGGCGUGAUAAGUUAUCUAUCGCUGAGGACACUGUAAAAGGUGGCCAAGGUAAAUGCAGAUGAACCGCUUCUAAUAGUCCAUUGACUUGGACAAUACUUUUAUGAUCUGAUCUCAAAUCAGGUAGAACUACCCGCUGAACUUAAGC